GAUAACUGGCUUGUGGCAGCCAAGCAUUCAUAGCGACGUUGCUUUUUGAUCCUUCGAUGUCGGCUCUUCCUAUCACUGUGAAGCAGAACUCACCAAGCGUUGGAUUGCUGGAUUGUGAGACAGGUU
This 126-nucleotide non-coding RNA is filed under the name Apaloderma vittatum (bar-tailed trogon). RNAcentral describes it as "Eukaryotic large subunit ribosomal RNA". It matches the Rfam family "Eukaryotic large subunit ribosomal RNA", at positions 2825 to 2937 of the family's 3401-position model. Lineage: Eukaryota; Metazoa; Chordata; Aves; Trogoniformes; Trogonidae. The record is from Rfam by way of RNAcentral.